RNAcentral lists this ribosomal RNA (158 nucleotides) under Pezicula subcarnea. RNAcentral describes it as "5.8S ribosomal RNA". It matches the Rfam family "5.8S ribosomal RNA". From Rfam's summary of the family: 5.8S ribosomal RNA (5.8S rRNA) is a component of the large subunit of the eukaryotic ribosome. It is transcribed by RNA polymerase I as part of the 45S precursor that also contains 18S and 28S rRNA. Functionally, it is thought that 5.8S rRNA may be involved in ribosome translocation. Lineage: Eukaryota; Fungi; Ascomycota; Leotiomycetes; Helotiales; Dermateaceae. The record is from RNAcentral.
AACUUUCAACAACGGAUCUCUUGGUUCUGGCAUCGAUGAAGAACGCAGCGAAAUGCGAUAAGUAAUGUGAAUUGCAGAAUUCAGUGAAUCAUCGAAUCUUUGAACGCACAUUGCGCCCCCUGGUAUUCCGGGGGGCAUGCCUGUUCGAGCGUCAUUAC